RNAcentral lists this ribosomal RNA (179 nucleotides) under Homo sapiens (human). Its description in RNAcentral is "rRNA-28S_rRNA-related". It matches the Rfam family "Eukaryotic large subunit ribosomal RNA", at positions 2189 to 2374 of the family's 3401-position model. The record is from RNAcentral. Lineage: Eukaryota; Metazoa; Chordata; Mammalia; Primates; Hominidae.
AUGUGAUUUCUGCCCAGAGCUCUGAAAGUCAAAGUAAAGAAAUUCAAUAAAGUGAGGGUAACAGGGAGUAAAGAUGACUUUCAAGGUAGCCAAAUGCCUCACCAUCUAAAUAAUGACGCCCAUCAAUGAACAAACAAGAUUCCCACUGUCCCAUCUCCUAUCCAGUGAAACACAGCCAA